Molecule: ribosomal RNA, 880 nt
Filed under: Bacillus amyloliquefaciens
Lineage: Bacteria; Bacillati; Bacillota; Bacilli; Caryophanales; Bacillaceae
Description: bacterial SSU rRNA
Rfam family: Bacterial small subunit ribosomal RNA
Source: RNAcentral
GACGCUGAGCUAGAUCCUGCGCUCAGAGUUUGAUCCUGGCUCAGAGUGUUGCAUCACUGAGCUUAGAGGUUGAACCUGUGAGUAACACGUGGGUAACCUGCCCAUAAGACUGGGAUAACUCCGGGAAACCGGGGCUAAUACCGGAUAACAUUUUGAACCGCAUGGUUCGAAAUUGAAAGGCGGCUUCGGCUGUCACUUAUGGAUGGACCCGCGUCGCAUUAUCUAGUUGGUGAGGUAACGGCUCACCAAGGCAACGAUGCGUAGCCGACCUGAGAGGGUGAUCGGCCACACUGGGACUGAGACACGGCCCAGACUCCUACGGGAGGCAGCAGUAGGGAAUCUUCCGCAAUGGACGAAAGUCUGACGGAGCAACGCCGCGUGAGUGAUGAAGGCUUUCGGGUCGUAAAACUCUGUUGUUAGGGAAGAACAAGUGCUAGUUGAAUAAGCUGGCACCUUGACGGUACCUAACCAGAAAGCCACGGCUAACUACGUGCCAGCAGCCGCGGUAAUACGUAGGUGGCAAGCGUUAUCCGGAAUUAUUGGGCGUAAAGCGCGCGCAGGUGGUUUCUUAAGUCUGAUGUGAAAGCCCACGGCUCAACCGUGGAGGGUCAUUGGAAACUGGGAGACUUGAGUGCAGAAGAGGAAAGUGGAAUUCCAUGUGUAGCGGUGAAAUGCGUAGAGAUAUGGAGGAACACCAGUGUCGAAGGCGACUUUCUGGUCUGUAACUGACACUGAGGCGCGAAAGCGUGUGAGCAACAGGAUUAGAUACCCUGCUAGUCAACGACGUAAACGAUGAGUGCUAAGUGCUUAGAGGAUUUCGACCUUAGUGCUGAGCUUAACGCAUAAGCACUCCGUCCUGGUGUAAUACGGUCGUCAAGGC